Molecule: ribosomal RNA, 468 nt
Filed under: uncultured bacterium
Lineage: Bacteria
Description: partial 16S ribosomal RNA
Rfam family: Bacterial small subunit ribosomal RNA
Source: RNAcentral
GACGAACGCUGGCGGCGUGCUUAACACAUGCAAGUCGAACGGAAAGGCCCUGCUUUUGUGUGGUGCUCGAGUGGCGAACGGGUGAGUAACACGUGAGUAACCUGCCCUGUACUUUGGGAUAACUUCAGGAAACUGGGGCUAAUACCGGCUAGGAGCGCCUGCUGCAUGGGGGGGGUUGGAAAGUUUCGGCGGUUGGGGAUGGACUCGCGGCUUAUCAGCUUGUUGGUGGGGUAGUGGCUUACCAAGGCUUUGACGGGUAGCCGGCCUGAGAGGGUGACCGGCCACAUUGGGACUGAGAUACGGCCCAGACUCCUACGGGAGGCAGCAGUGGAGAAUAUUGCACAAUGGGCGGAAGCCUGAUGCAGAAACGCCGCGAGCGGGAUGACGGCCUUCGUGUUGUAAACCGCUUUAGCCUGUGACCAAGCGUGAGUGACGGUAAUAGGUAAAGAAGCACCGGCUAACUACGUG